RNAcentral lists this ribosomal RNA (449 nucleotides) under uncultured Anaerolineaceae bacterium. RNAcentral's name for it is "bacterial SSU rRNA". It matches the Rfam family "Bacterial small subunit ribosomal RNA", at positions 920 to 1382 of the family's 1533-position model. Lineage: Bacteria; Bacillati; Chloroflexota; Anaerolineae; Anaerolineales; Anaerolineaceae. The record is from RNAcentral.
CCCGCACAAGCAGCGGAGCGUGUGGUUCAAUUCGAUGAUACACGAAGAACCUUACCUGGGUUUGACAUGCUAGUGGUAGUGACGCGAAAGCCGAACGACCCUUCGGGGAGCUAGCACAGGUGCUGCAUGGUUGUCGUCAGCUCGUGCCGUGAGGUGUUAGGUUAAGUCCUGCAACGAGCGCAACCCUUGUCGUUAGUUAUACUUUUCUAGCGAUACCGCCGGGGUAACUCGGAGGAAGGUGGGGAUGACGUCAAAUCAGCAUGGCCUUUAUAUCCAGGGCUACACACACGCCACAAUGGCCGACACAAUGGGUUGCCAAACCGCGAGGUGGAGCCAAUCCCCCAAAGUCGGUCUCAGUUCGGAUUGGAGGCUGCAACUCGCCUCCAUGAAGCUGGAGUUGCUAGUAACCGCCGGUCAGCUAUACGGCGGUGAAUACGUUCCCGGGCCUU